RNAcentral lists this long non-coding RNA (223 nucleotides) under Capsicum annuum. RNAcentral's name for it is "long non-coding RNA (CANN_LNC005014)". Lineage: Eukaryota; Viridiplantae; Streptophyta; Magnoliopsida; Solanales; Solanaceae. The record is from RNAcentral.
CUAAAUCUAGUCUACCAAAAACCCUUAGUCAAAAUUGGACUAACUCUUGAUUACCCAUGCAUGAAUGCUACUUAGGAUAACAUAACCCCAAGAUCUCUCUAAAUUUGAUAAACUUACUACUGUUCAAAUUCAUAUUGAUGUGCUUUGGUGAUUUUGUUCUACAAAUUUUGACAUUCAAACCCCCCAGUUUAUUUUCAUGUUUUGUUCUAGUUCGCAUUAUGGG